UACCCGCUGAACUUAAGCAUAUCAAUAAGCGGAGGAAAAGAAACCAACAGGGAUUGCCCUAGUAACGGCGAGUGAAGCGGCAACAGCUCAAAUUUGAAAUCUGGCCCUUUUAGGGUCCGAGUUGUAAUUUGCAGAGGGCGCUUUGGCGUUGGCAGCGGUCCAAGUUCCUUGGAACAGGACGUCACAGAGGGUGAGAAUCCCGUACGUGGUCGCUGGCCUUCGCCGUGUAAAGCCCCUUCGACGAGUCGAGUUGUUUGGGAAUGCAGCUCUAAAUGGGAGGUAAAUUUCUUCUAAAGCUAAAUACUGGCCAGAGACCGAUAGCGCACAAGUAGAGUGAUCGAAAGAUGAAAAGCACUUUGGAAAGAGAGUCAAAUAGCACGUGAAAUUGUUGAAAGGGAAGCGCUUGCAGCCAGACUUGCCUGUAGUUGCUCAUCCGGGCUUUUGCCCGGUGCACUCUUCUAUGGGCAGGCCAGCAUCAGUUUGGGCGGUUGGAUAAAGGUUUCUGUCACGUACCCCUCUUCGGGGGGGCCUUAUAGGGGAAACGACAUGCAACCAGCCCAGACUGAGGUCCGCGCAUCUGCUAGGAUGCUGGCGUAAUGGCUGUAAGCGGCCCGUCUUGAAACACGGACCAAGGAGUCUAACAUCUAUGCGAGUGUUUGGGUGUCAAGCCCGAACGCGUAAUGAAAGUGAACGGAGGUAGGAACCCAUUAGGGCGCACUAUCGACCGAUCCUGAUGUCUUCGGAUGGAUUUGAGUAAGAGCAUGGCUGUUGGGACCCGAAAGAUGGUGAACUAUGCUUGAAUAGGGUGAAGCCAGAGGAAACUCUGGUGGAGGCUCGCAGCGGUUCUGACGUGCAAAUCGAUCGUCAAAUUUGGGCAUAGGGGCGAAAGACUAAUCGAACUAUCUAGUAGCUGGUUCCUGC
RNAcentral lists this ribosomal RNA (921 nucleotides) under Neophaeosphaeria agaves. Its description in RNAcentral is "eukaryotic LSU rRNA". It matches the Rfam family "Eukaryotic large subunit ribosomal RNA", at positions 22 to 961 of the family's 3401-position model. The record is from RNAcentral. Lineage: Eukaryota; Fungi; Ascomycota; Dothideomycetes; Pleosporales; Neophaeosphaeriaceae.